CCCACUAAUUCUCAGUCAGACGAGUUCAUCUCCUGACAAAUAUCUGCAACAGUCCACACAGAGAACUGGAUUAGGAGUCAUUCUACUAGUACACUAAACAAUUUCCAGAAGACUAAACGACACCAUCAUCAGAUCAAACAACAGUUCCAGUGUUCAGCCAUGGUGUUGUUUGAGGAUCAAGAAUGUGGGGUCUGUUACCUGCGUUACUCCCGCAUCGACCGCGUUCCCAGAACUCUCCACUGCAACCACACAUUCUGCACCACCUGUCUGGAGACAAUGGGGCUGCAGUCCAGCGGCCUGCGCACCAUUCGCUGUCCCCUCUGUCGCCAGGUGACUUGUGUGGACCGUGGGCUCAGCUUGCAGGAGGCUCUGUUUGUCAAUAGCCAAGUGUGGGACAACAUUUGCGAUGAGCAAGAGGAGGAAGAGGACGAGAGAGAGCAGGAAAAAGAGGAAGAGGGGAAAAACACUAAUAUGCAGGUGCUGCCCUCAUCACAGGCUGAAUGUCCAGUGCGAAAACAAUACAGACCCAAACUCAGACUCCCGUCUUUCCUGAAGAAAAUGAGUUUUUCCAGGCACCCCGAAGAGAGGAUUGUUCCCACCUGCAAUGUGUAAGUCUUCAUCCUACUGUAAUGAUCGACAGCUCAGUUGAAACAAAAUGUAACAACAUACUGUAUAGAGAAAUGAUGUCAUGGAGAAGGAUUUCAUCAGAAGAGAUUUUUUGAAGGGCAACAGACACCAUAAACAAAUGAUUAGCAAUACAAACAAUAGACUUUCACCCGCUUUUUGCUUCGGUCAUAUGCUAAUUAUGCCUGGCGUACUGAAAAAGCGGGAGCAACAGUCAGUCCUGGACAAGGUUGUUUAAACAAAUUCAAACCCCUCCAUGUGCUUCUGCGACUACAUUUUCCACUUGAAUAGCCACAAGUCCGAAUCCUGCUCCUCCAUCUGAGGGGAACUUCUCAUUAGAUAUUCCACCCUUAAUCCGUCCCAGCUGCUGAGGCCGGAUUUGUUUCAGCUGUCCCGAGAGACAGAGGGUCCCAGAUGCGAAACAAGACUUUCAGAGCAGAUGGCAUCUUGUGAAAGAUUCAGAUCACCCCCACUUCUCUAAUAGACUCUUUUAAGUUAUUUUAAGCUUUGUUAUUUAUAUAACUUAUAAAUUAUUGUAAAUUAAAAAUUCUGAUUGCUGGUGUCUUUUUAAAUAGCACAUCCUUACAUCCUGUUUUACAAGACUAUCUAGAGCAGAGGGGGUUCAAACUUUUGAUAUAAGGACCCCAAAUAUGACAUUCCCCUUCUGAGGGACCUCUAUUUCCAAAGAAAAAAUAAAAAAUAAACUUUUUUUAAAAUAUAUUGUCAUUGUCAUUGUAUUUGAAAAAGAAUCAAAUAAAUGCAAUACCAUGA
Cyprinus carpio (common carp) is the source of this 1395-nucleotide RNA transcript. RefSeq lists it as uncharacterized. The record is from RefSeq and is a predicted model, not a curated record. NCBI's taxonomy places the organism in Eukaryota, Metazoa, Chordata, Actinopteri, Cypriniformes, Cyprinidae.